GGGGUUGGGAAGAAGGAAGGCUACUAUGGUAACCCCGAAGGCGCAAGGUCUAGCCUCACUGGCCAGGCAGGCUGCCCACAAUGGCCGGCCUACUGCUGUACUGCUCGUACCCUCCCCCAGUGCUGUCCCGGCACCACCUACCCGCUAGGGCACCCUGUAGCUCUGUAAUCUAAAUAUCCUGCAAGCCCCUGCUUCCACCCUUGCUCCAAAACCAGGUGCUAAAAAAAAGCUUAGACUUUUUGGACGUCAUCUUCAAAGGAACCCCAACUUGCAACCUCCUUUUAAACCCAGUUCAGGGAUUGAGAAGGAAAGAAGGGUUCUGAGACUCAGUAAACUCUACCCUGAUGGCCUGAGAGUUUUUCUAACUUUCUUCCGAGAAGUCUGUCACGUGGGUGCUGGUCAGCAGGGGGUACUAUUGUACCUCCUUUUGCCCUAGUGAAAAAGCAGACCUCAUCUUACACAAACCAAAGCGGGUGAUGAGAACACCAUGCAUUCCUGAGCCUGUUAGAUUUGAACAGACAGACAAUCUUCUCUUGAUCCAGAGAAACAGGCAUCCUCCUUAAAGUCACCCUUGGAUGUCCAGAAGAGAAGAGUGGCCUGUCUUACUGGCAGGCUCCAGUCUGGGCUCCAAAGAAGAUUUACGGUCUCCUCUCCCUGGCUAGCUGAAACUAAGACUUCAGGAGAUCAAAGGGGAAGACUAACAAAUGGAUGUAUAAGCCCCAAGGUUGCUUUCCCAUCACUCUAUCAUGUUCUCUUGGAUCUGGCCUUAGCUGUGACAAAAGCCAGCUUAGAGGCAAAACCAUUGGAGGAGAAGCCUACCCAAUUUUUUCUCCAGGGGUGAAGCCCCACGUUCAGCAAAUAUUUGCUAAGAGCAAACCAAGAACUCUGCCAGGCACCUUGGAUGCAAAGCUGGUGACAUGACAGCACCUGAAGACCCCAGGGGGAGAGGUUGUGAGAGGCAGGUGCUGGGCACUAAAGCAGUUCUGAGUCUCACCAAGAUGAAGGCUAGACUGAACUUUGAAACUUCGUAAUGUUCCAUCCUCAGCUGAAUGCAAAGAAUCUCUUAACAAGAGUAUAGGCAUUUGAAGAGUUAAUGCUCUGGUGUAAUAGUGAAAACCUUAGAGGAAUGUAAGAUGGUAAAUGGUGGCAGAGACUAAAAGUUUGGGAAUCCCAGUGGGCAUGGGCACAGAGAAAGUGGAUGAAACUUAAGGUCACCCUUGCUGGAACUCACCGUCAGUAGUUGCUUGUUUGCCAGUGCCAACUCCUGUACCAUGAUAUCCCUCAUUCUUAGGGUGGCAUAAGGGUUUCUCCUCUGGCUCAGUGUCAUCUGCCACAGACAGUGAGUGUGUGAAUUUCGCCACCUGCCCCAGGUAUAGUGGUGGGGUUAAAUGGAUUAGUUAGGAGUGGAGACAAAAACCCAGUGAGGCUGCUGCUUCACCAAAACCUCUGUAAGGGUCAAAAGAGUACAAACUCCUUGAAAGGGUAACGAACUUAGAACCUAGUAUAAAGUACAUUAUGUCAUUUAAUCAUCAUAACCACCAUGUGUCAUAGAUACUAAUUUUUGUUUUAUACAGUCAAGGAAACUAAAAGUUCAUGUGAAUUGCUCAAGGUCACUUCACGGCAUACCUGGGUAUCAAAUCCACCCUAAGCAUGAAUUCCUUCCAUCAUACUGGUGAUUUUCAACCUUGGCUAGACACAUUUUGGAAUGAUUUGUUAAGGUUUUUAAUACAUAAGAGGAAUAUACAUAUGUAUCAUAUAGUAUGUAUCCUUUGUUCACAUAACCCCAUUGAGUUUAAAAAAAAAAGUAUUUACAGAUAAAAAAAAAUUAAACCCAUACAGAAAUAUAGUAAAUAAAAAGCGAAAGCCUCAUUCUUCUGCCUUAAUCCUCGCCAAGAAAGUUUUCAUGUGUAUCUCUAGAAAAUUUUUGUCAUAUAUCAGCACCUGUAUCUUUUUUUUUACAUAAAAAUCAUUAUAUAAGCAGUAUUACCUAACAAUUUGGACUUUUCAUAUCAGCACAUAGAGAUUUGCUUCAUUCUGUUUAAAGGCUGCCUAAUAUUUUUGUAUAACUAGCUGGGUGAUUUUUAG
Long non-coding RNA from Pteronotus mesoamericanus, 2085 nucleotides. RefSeq lists it as uncharacterized. NCBI's taxonomy places the organism in Eukaryota, Metazoa, Chordata, Mammalia, Chiroptera, Mormoopidae. The record is from RefSeq and is a predicted model, not a curated record. The transcript has 5 exons.